GCCAUCUGGUGGGGGACCUAGCCGCCAACAGACACUUCCUGUACGGGGGAGGGGGCCAGGCGGCCGUUAGACAGCAUAACCGAACCCAACACCGGGGCCCAACGGCAGGGGCUUGGGCAGGAGCAAGGUCCGAGGGCUGCCAGGUCCACGCUGCUUUUAUGAGCUGUAACACUCACCGCGAAGAUCUGCAACUUCACUCCUGAGCCCAGCGAGACCACGAGCCCACCGGGAGGAGCGGACAACUCCAGACGCACCACCUUAAGAGCUGUAACACUCACCGCGAAGGUCUGCAGCUUCACUCGUGAGCCCAGCAAGACCACGAGGACACCGGGAGGAACGAACAACUCCAGACGCGCUGCCUUAAGAGCCGUAACACUCACCGCAAGGGUCUGCAGCUUCACUCCUGAGCCAGCGAGACCACAAACCCACCAGAAGGAAGAAACUCCCAACACAUCUGAACAUCAGAACGAACAGACUCCAGACACGCCACCUUAAGAGCUGUAACACUCACCGCGAGGUUCCGCAGCUUCAUUCUUGAAGUCAGUAAGACCAAGAACCCACCAAUUCCAGACACAUUUUGGCGACCACGGAGGGACUUUCGCCUAUCGCCAAGCAGUGAGACAAUUGCCAAGCGGUGAGACCAUCACCUAUCGCCGAGCGGUGAGACUUUCGCCUAUCGCCAAGCAGUCCACGCUGCUUUUAUGAGCUGUAACACUCACCACGAAGAUCUGCAACUUCACUCCUGAGCCCAGCGAGACCACGAGCCCACCGGGAGGAACAAACAACUCCAGACGCGCUGCCUUAAGAGCUGUAACACUCACCGUGAAGGUCUGCAGCUUCACUCCUGAGCCAGCGAGACCACGAACCCACCAGAAGGAAGAAACUCCGAACACAUCUGAACAUCAGAACGAACAGACUCCAGACGCACCACCUUAAGAGCUGUAACACUCACCGCGAGGUUCCGCGGCUUCAUUCUUGAAGUCAGUAAGACCAAGAACCCACCAAUUCUGGACACAGUAGCAUUUGGGAAUAAUAAGAAUUGUAGCUGGGCAUGGUGGUACACGCCUGUAGACCCCCAGCAGCUGCCAUCAUCCUCACCAUCCGCAUAUUAUUGAUAUAUUAACUCUUUGAUGGCAACCAUGGCUUAUCCCCCCUGUCUCCCUAUGCCCUACAGCAGGGCAAUGGAAUGGUUAAGAGGCUUUGAAGUCUAACAGUGCUAGCUUAAAACCCUAAUUUGUCAUUUUGGAUGUGUGGCUUUGGACACUUGGGGCAGGUCACCUAUGUUCUUCGAGCCCUGUAUCCUUAUCUGUCAGAUGAUGAUUUUUUUUUUUUUUAGACGAAGUCUCACUCUCUUGCCCAGGCUGGAGUGCAGUGGCAUGAUCUCGGCUUACUGCAAGCUCCACCUCCCGGGUUGACGCCAUUCUCUUGCCUCAGCUUCCCGAGUAGCUGGGACUACAGGCUCCUGCCACCACCCGUGGCUAAUUUUUUUGUAUUUUUAGUAGAGACAGGGUUUCACCAUGUUAGCCAGGAUGGUCUCGAUCUCCUGACCUCGUGAUCUGCCCGCCUCAGCCUCCCAAAGUAUCAGAUGAUUUUAACAACUAUGCUUCCAUGACUUGCUGGGCUAGAUGAUAUGACUGUAAAAUGCCUAACCCAUGGUUUAGCAUCAAGUAAGCAAAUUGUAAAUGGUAGCACUGCUCUGCCUAUGACUAUUUAGUCUUGUGCUUUAAACUCAAAUAUUUGUUGGCCUACUGAAGUUACCACACAGAGAAAGAUGCUUUUCAUUCUCAGUAAAGAACUUUGGGAGAUAACUGGGGCAGGCAGCAAGAGAACAGAUGUCAUAUGUCUAGCAUCAGCAAACUCAUCAGAACUGAUGGGCAGCUCACUUUGCUUAGAACCUGCACCAGCAUACACACAGGGCUGCCUCCCAGUCACACUGCUCCUGGGAAGGUAGGGGGGCUGCUGUUCUGCAAUUAGCGCGGUUCUUUACCUCCUAUUACCGAACUGCCAGAGUUCAUUUGUGUUCAGUUAGGUAGAUGACCAAUUCUUGUUCAUUCCUAUUUUCUUUUGCUCACUAAUGUGUUUAACGUUCACUAACC
Pan troglodytes (chimpanzee) is the source of this 2096-nucleotide long non-coding RNA. RefSeq lists it as uncharacterized. The record is from RefSeq and is a predicted model, not a curated record. The transcript has 3 exons. Lineage: Eukaryota; Metazoa; Chordata; Mammalia; Primates; Hominidae.